RNAcentral lists this ribosomal RNA (571 nucleotides) under Himatium sp. CNCCOLVG00001678. Its description in RNAcentral is "eukaryotic LSU rRNA". It matches the Rfam family "Eukaryotic large subunit ribosomal RNA", at positions 284 to 645 of the family's 3401-position model. The record is from RNAcentral. Lineage: Eukaryota; Metazoa; Arthropoda; Insecta; Coleoptera; Curculionidae.
AGCCCUAAGUGGGUGGUAAACUCCAUCUAAGGCUAAAUAUGACCACGAGACCGAUAGCGAACAAGUACCGUGAGGGAAAGUUGAAAAGCACUUUGAAGAGAGAGUUCAAGAGUACGUGAAACCGUUUAGGGGUAAACCUGAGAAACCCGAAAGGUCGAAGGGAGAAAUUCAUUCGCGUUUCGUCGCGGGCGUCGUUCGUUGGCGCGACGGCGGUCGUUCGCGCGACCGCCGCGCCCUCCGUUCGCGCGAUCUCGAGGCGAACGCGUGCACUUUUCUCCUGGUAGGACGUCGCGAUCCGUCGGGCGUCGGUCUACGGUACGCGGUGGAGUCCGUCGGUCGCGUUCGCGCGCGCACCGACGAACCCGCGUUAUUUCCCGACCGACUCGCUCGACGGUAUAAAGACGGUUCAGGGCCGCUCCGUUUUGCGGUAGCGUCCGGCUCGCGGCAAGCGCGUUAGAUGUGUCGGUGAUCGGACCCGGUGCCGGUCCCGGCCUCUGACGACUGUUGGCCGCGAAGUUCUCGGACAGACCUUCGGACCGAUCGGCGACGCUAUAGCUUUGGGUACUUUCAG